UACAUGUGGGGCAAGCGUUGUUCGGAAUUACUGGGCAUAAAGGGUGCGUAGGUGGUUUGUUUAGUCAGGGGUGAAAUCCCACGGCCCAACCGUGGAACUGCCUUUGAAACUGGCGAACUUGAGUGCGUGAGGGGUAGGAGGAACGAGCAGUGUAGCGGUGAAAUGCGUAGAUAUUGCUCGGAAGGCCGGAGGCGAAGGGGUCCUACUGGUACGUAACUGACACUGAGGCACGAAAGCGUGGGGAGCAAACAGG
This 253-nucleotide ribosomal RNA is filed under the name uncultured bacterium. RNAcentral's name for it is "partial 16S ribosomal RNA". It matches the Rfam family "Bacterial small subunit ribosomal RNA", at positions 524 to 776 of the family's 1533-position model. The record is from RNAcentral.